This is a long non-coding RNA of Puntigrus tetrazona (Sumatra barb), 129 nucleotides long. RefSeq lists it as uncharacterized. The transcript has 3 exons. The record is from RefSeq and is a predicted model, not a curated record. Lineage: Eukaryota; Metazoa; Chordata; Actinopteri; Cypriniformes; Cyprinidae.
CCCUGCCGGGAAAAAAGAAGCACGUGCUGUUUGGAUUGCAGGAGCGCACGGAUCUACUGAAGAGAGUGAAUGGAAGUGUCUGAUUCUGAAGACAAAAGAGGAACUGUGGGCCUCAAAUGGCUGAUGUCU